GAAUUAGAUCCUUAGUGAAAGAUACAUGGAAUUUCUAUGCUUAAUAAUGAAGGUUAAUUUGGAGCUAUGAAAAAUUGUGGAUUUGUUUCGUACUUUAUUUGUAGCUAAAAUCGGAGCCAUUCUGUGCAAGCUGACAGAUGUUGAGUUUACGUAAGUUGUUUAAUUAAUCUUAGGGGUAGCGAGUCGCAACAAGUGCUUAAUUGACAAGGUAUGGAAAACCCAAAGACCAUUCUUCUUGAUGCCAAAGGAAAAUUUUACUUAAUCUGUGCAAUGGACGUUUGACACAUGCUGUUCCAAUGAUGUCUAUCAAGUUUGACAGAUUCGUUUGAACUGAAUGACCCUGUAUAUAGGCAACACUCGAAAUAAUGUAUAAGCGUGUACACACAAUGUAUAUUUGCCCAGUGUCAAGGAGUUCCAUUUGUCAUAGAAGAGUAAUCGAACGGUUUCGAUUAGGUAACCAAAUUGAAUUUCUCUGUAGAAAUAAUUUGGCUUGAUGCAAUUCCACAUGAUUUUACUUUGAUCAAUGUCAUGCCGGAUGAUUGUGUAAGUGAAAAGCGACUUUGAAAUUUGAAAUUUGUAAACCAUACAUACGGUAAAAUUGUUUUCAUGAUUUUUUAAAAUUAUUCAAACACUUUAGUAAACUUUUCAAGAAAAUUUGAUUCAUCUUAAAAUACGAGUCACUAAUUUGUUUUAUAAGUAACCAAAUGCACUGUCAACUUCAAAAUAUAAUUUUUUUUACACCGAUUGCCAUACUUUUUCA
Molecule: long non-coding RNA, 760 nt
Organism: Cephus cinctus (wheat stem sawfly)
Lineage: Eukaryota; Metazoa; Arthropoda; Insecta; Hymenoptera; Cephidae
Exons: 3
Source: RefSeq, a predicted model, not a curated record